Non-coding RNA from Salmo salar (Atlantic salmon), 1410 nucleotides. NCBI's taxonomy places the organism in Eukaryota, Metazoa, Chordata, Actinopteri, Salmoniformes, Salmonidae. The record is from RefSeq and is a predicted model, not a curated record.
UAGGCAUGGCUUGGUUUCUGCAGGUGCUUCUCUGUAAAGCUGGGCCCACUACAGCACAGAGAUGCAAGAGAACAUCUCUUGGUAAUCGGAACCGGCUCAUAAGCCACUCAUCAUCAUUGACCAGUAAAAUUCGCUCUCUCCGAAUUCUUUCAUUCGCCAAAUCUUCCAACAGUGCUAAAGCAGCCAUUGUGCGUCAUUACGCAUUGUAAUUGCAUGCCUUUUUAUACCCACCCAUUUGAUUGUCAAAGCUACCCAAUUGCGUAACACCUUCAGGUGUGGUAAUUACCCUGAUUGUAAUUGACAAUGACUGGGCCAAAAUCACAUAGACAGUUCUGCGCAACGAACAUGUGAUAACAAUAUAUGAAACUGUGCACUCGUAUCUGCCCGACAAAGGCAUCGAAAACGGCAUCAGUUUAGCGUUCAGCCAUAGCAGUACAGUGCCCUUAGAACAAAUGAUGUGCUUUGCUCAAGGACACAUCGGCAGAUCGUUCACUUUGUCGGCUCGGGUAUUCAAACCAGCAACUUUCGAUUGCUGGCCCAACGCUCUAACCGCUAGGCUACCUGCAGUCAUUAUCGCCAUGGGAACACAGCACGCCACAUGUCCAAUGUUCUUUUCCCUGGGGUGACGUGCUGUUGUUGUGUUGUUAAUGGACGGCCCAGAAAGCCUGGUUUUCAAUGUGGCUUUAAAGAACGGUAUAGAGGUACAGAGUAGCUUUGCAUCAAGCUUUCACAUUGGUGACUCACGCAUUCUCAUGAAAAGCUGCAGACAAUCCUUCUCUUCCAGGCUACACACCUAUAUACCUUUCAGAGAAUCUGCCCAACAAGCCUCCUACUCAAAACAGUUUUAUGUGCAUCGACCUCCUACUGUGACAGAAUACACACGGUAUCAUUUGGAUCUAGUACAAUGGACCUGUAGUGACCAAUGGCGUUCAUUGCAGGUACCUCCAUCGUUUAUAUAAAAGUGAGUUGUAAGACUACAGUACGUGGGGGAGAAGAAAAUGCCUGGGAUACUAUGGUGUCUAUUGUGUAUCAUCCUGUGAUUGUCUUGUGCAUAUAUAAGACAUUGAUUGUUUAUAUUAGGAGUAUGUGAGACAAGGGAGAUACACCUGUCCAGCGAUAUUUAGUAGGAAAUGGAACUGUACUAUUUUUCUCAAUUUAUGAAACAACAAUUUUGUCUGUCAUUGUUUGUUGCCACUACCAUUGCUGCCUAACCUUCCUGCACCCCCACGCCCCCCUUCCCCCUUCAAAAGGAUCACAACAGAAAUACGCUUUCAAGCUUCAUUGUGUUACCCUAGAUUAUUUUAUUAAAUUGUAUGUUGCGGUGCCAAUUAUUGAAUCUAAAUGAAAUAUAUGACUUCUUCUCAUGUAUUUUUCAUACAUCUACAUGAAAUAUGAUGUUUCCUGAUGUAU